AUACAAUUAAAUUUGAUAUUAGAGAAAAUUGAAGCAAAUGUGAAAGAAGGCAAGUUCUCUCUCUCUUAAAAGGCCUGUUGACAGGCCAAUGGAUUGGCCAAUCAGGACACUGUCUGCAUCAGGGAUGACACAGGUAGCACAGACACAGGGAUGACACAGGGAUGACACAGGGAGCACAGACACAGGGAUGACAGAGAGGACUGGCCCAGCUGUGGUGCAGACACCAAUAAAGGAAAACAAGACAGACAAUAUCCAUGGAUGUGGAUAAACUUUUAGUUUUUAAUCCAAAAUAUUACAGUAUUCUCACAGCACUCUCCCCAACCAACACUCUGUCUGUUCUGUAAGUAUCGGAGUGAGUUUUAUCUUAGUUUGUUACUCCUGUAGUUUUCAGCACCUUUAAAUGAAUACAAA
Anguilla rostrata (American eel) is the source of this 411-nucleotide long non-coding RNA. RefSeq lists it as uncharacterized. The transcript has 2 exons. Lineage: Eukaryota; Metazoa; Chordata; Actinopteri; Anguilliformes; Anguillidae. The record is from RefSeq and is a predicted model, not a curated record.